Molecule: ribosomal RNA, 492 nt
Filed under: uncultured bacterium
Lineage: Bacteria
Description: partial 16S ribosomal RNA
Rfam family: Bacterial small subunit ribosomal RNA
Source: RNAcentral
AGUGAACGCUGGCGGUAGGCCUAACACAUGCAAGUCGAACGGCAGCACAGUAAGAGCUUGCUCUUACGGGUGGCGAGUGGCGGACGGGUGAGGAAUACAUCGUAAUCUACUUUUUCGUGGGGGAUAACGUAGGGAAACUUACGCUAAUACCGCAUACGACCUACGGUUGAAAGCAUGGGAUCUUCGGACCUUGCGCGAUUGAAUGAGCCGAUGUCGGAUUAGCUAGUUGGCGGGGUAAAGGCCCACCAAGGCGACGAUCCGUAGCUGGUCUGAGAGGAUGAUCAGCCACACUGGAACUGAGACACGGUCCAGACUCCUACGGGAGGCAGCAGUGGGGAAUAUUGGACAAUGGGCGCAAGCCUGAUCCAGCCAUACCGCGUGGGUGAAGAAGGCCUUCGGGUUGUAAAGCCCUUUUGUUGGGAAAGAAAAGCAGCAGGUUAAUACCCCGCUGUUCUGACGGUACCCAAAGAAUAAGCACCGGCUAACUUCGUG